UGAAAUGAGCAUUAACCUUAUGCUCUUCACGUCCCCACGAACUUCUUCUUUCCCUAUAAAACAACAACAUUGGUAAAGCCAAAGCCAAAGGUGACAUAAUUGGUUUUGAGAGGGUCAAAUUUAGUAAACAUGGCUUCUGGCUACAAUCAAUACACAGCGAUGGCUGUUUUCGCCACAAUGACGCUCUCCUCUGUCUUUACCGCCUCCGCACAGUACGAUUCAGAGUCACAGACAGGAGCCUCUUGUUUCCCAGGAAUGUCUAUUAUCAUGAUCAUCUCUUCUCUCAUCCUUUCUGGAUUUGCCAUUCUCAGAUGGUAGAAGAUCAUUCUUAAUGUUCUUCUGUAUUUUUAUUUUUUUUCUGUUGCUGUAUCAAAUCUCAAUAAAGGAAAACAUCACUCUCUUCG
RNA transcript from Arabidopsis thaliana (thale cress), 404 nucleotides. RefSeq lists it as uncharacterized. The record is from RefSeq. The transcript has a single exon. Lineage: Eukaryota; Viridiplantae; Streptophyta; Magnoliopsida; Brassicales; Brassicaceae.